This 153-nucleotide ribosomal RNA is filed under the name uncultured bacterium. RNAcentral's name for it is "partial 16S ribosomal RNA". It matches the Rfam family "Bacterial small subunit ribosomal RNA", at positions 355 to 507 of the family's 1533-position model. The record is from RNAcentral.
UGAGGAAUAUUGGACAUGGGCGCAGCCUGAUCCAGCCAUGCCGCGUGCAGGAAGACGCAUCUAUGGUGUGUAAACUGCUUUUGUACGGGAAGAAACACCCCCUCGUGAGGGGGCUUGACGGUACCGUAAGAAUAAGGAUCGGCUAACUCCGUG